Molecule: ribosomal RNA, 316 nt
Filed under: uncultured Cortinarius
Lineage: Eukaryota; Fungi; Basidiomycota; Agaricomycetes; Agaricales; Cortinariaceae
Description: eukaryotic LSU rRNA
Rfam family: 5.8S ribosomal RNA (bases 1-71)
Source: RNAcentral
GUGAGUCAUCGAAUCUUUGAACGCACCUUGCGCUCCUUGGUAUUCCGAGGAGCAUGCCUGUUUGAGUGUCAUUAAUAUAUAUAUCAACCCUCUUUUGUUGAGUGGUUGGAUGUGAGGGUUUGCUGGACUCUUAAAAGGGUUCAGCUCCCUUGAAAUGCAUUAGCAGAACAACCUGUUCAUUGGUGUGAUAACUAUCUACACUAUUGAAUGCAAUGGCCAGUUCAGCUUUCUAACCGUCCUUGGACAAUUUAUCAUUAAUGUGACCUCAAAUCAGGUAGGACUACCCGCUGAACUUAAGCAUAUCAAUAAGCGGAGG